GGGGCCGUAGCUCAGCCUGGAUAGAGCAGCGGCCUCCGGAGCCGUAGGUCCCGGGUUCAAAUCCCGGCGGCCCCGCCA
RNAcentral lists this transfer RNA (78 nucleotides) under Candidatus Bathyarchaeota archaeon. RNAcentral's name for it is "tRNA-Arg". It matches the Rfam family "tRNA". Rfam says of the family: Transfer RNA (tRNA) molecules are approximately 80 nucleotides in length. The record is from RNAcentral. Lineage: Archaea; Thermoproteati; Candidatus Bathyarchaeota.